GGGGAAGGGAGGAGGCAAGCGUGGAAAGGUGAGAAGAGGUGAGGCAGAGGCCUACGUGGAGAGGCAGAGCCUGGGACGCUGCCUGCGGGGGAGGUCAGGGCCACAGGGAAACCCGCACCCAGCCGGACAGGAGUCAGAGGCUGUUGUCAUGGUAACUGGCAUCCCAAGGCCUGGUCUGCCUCCUGCCUCCUUUAUCGGGCUAUGAUGGUCACUGCUUCCUCUGCGAAGCACCUGUCAUGUGUGGGGGUUUGUGCCAAGCUCUUUCCAUGCACUAGGGGGAGAAACCAGGCAGCCCACCUUCAGAGCCCGCGUCUUAACUGUGACCCCACGUUGAAAUAAAAUGUGGAAACUGCCCACA
Molecule: long non-coding RNA, 358 nt
Filed under: Homo sapiens (human)
Lineage: Eukaryota; Metazoa; Chordata; Mammalia; Primates; Hominidae
Description: HSALNT0317561
Source: RNAcentral